RNAcentral lists this transfer RNA (73 nucleotides) under Camelus bactrianus (Bactrian camel). It matches the Rfam family "tRNA". Rfam says of the family: Transfer RNA (tRNA) molecules are approximately 80 nucleotides in length. Their secondary structure includes four short double-helical elements and three loops (D, anti-codon, and T loops). Further hydrogen bonds mediate the characteristic L-shaped molecular structure. tRNAs have two regions of fundamental functional importance: the anti-codon, which is responsible for specific mRNA codon recognition, and the 3' end, to which the tRNAs corresponding amino acid is attached (by aminoacyl-tRNA synthetases). tRNAs cope with the degeneracy of the genetic code in two manners: having more than one tRNA (with a specific anti-codon) for a particular amino acid; and 'wobble' base-pairing, i.e. permitting non-standard base-pairing at the 3rd anti-codon position. Lineage: Eukaryota; Metazoa; Chordata; Mammalia; Artiodactyla; Camelidae. RNAcentral also lists the same sequence under 1 other name. The record is from Rfam by way of RNAcentral.
GGAAGGGUAUAGCCAGUGGUAGAGCAGGUGCUUAGCAGGCAUGAGGUCCUGGGUUCAAUCCCCAGUACUUCCA